UACAGAGGGGCAAGCGUUGUUCGGAAUUACUGGGCGUAAAGGGCGCGUAGGCGGCCUGUUAAGUCGAACGUGAAAUCCCCGGGCUCAACCCGGGAACUGCGUCCGAUACUGGCAGGCUUGAAUCCGGGAGAGGGAUGCGGAAUUCCAGGUGUAGCGGUGAAAUGCGUAGAUAUCUGGAGGAACACCGGUGGCGAAGGCGGCAUCCUGGACCGGUAUUGACGCUGAGGCGCGAAAGCCAGGGGAGCAAACGGGGA
RNAcentral lists this ribosomal RNA (254 nucleotides) under uncultured bacterium. RNAcentral's name for it is "partial 16S ribosomal RNA". It matches the Rfam family "Bacterial small subunit ribosomal RNA", at positions 524 to 778 of the family's 1533-position model. The record is from RNAcentral.